This 857-nucleotide long non-coding RNA is filed under the name Phascolarctos cinereus (koala). RNAcentral's name for it is "lncRNA (ENSPCIG00000008772.2)". The record is from RNAcentral. Lineage: Eukaryota; Metazoa; Chordata; Mammalia; Diprotodontia; Phascolarctidae.
AGAGUGAACUCCUCUACUGGGGGCGGGAAUGAGUCAGUCCCGGGCUCUCGUGCUGGGGCUUGGGGGUGGGGUCUGCGCGCGGGAUUCGGGGGCGCGGGGACCACAGCUGUCUGACUGAGAAAUUCUCGAGUUUCCGAGUGGGAGGGUCGCGCGAGGCCGUGAGGGGUCUCUGGGGAGCGGAGCCACGCGCUGCCUUCUCCCAGGUGCAGAGGCCGGUUAGGAUUUGAAUUCCGUACCCUGCGCUCUCAACGGCAGUCGGGCUGAGGGGAGACUGGAGGAGCCUAGUCCCGUCUCCUCUUCACCAUGCCAUUUCUUGAAAAAGAGGAAAACAGUGAACCUAUGUUGAUGAAAAAUGAAACACGCCUGCAAAUCUUAAAGAACAAGGAGCAGAGAAAGAGACUUGUUCAUGAAAUUUGUACUUUUUUAGAUAGCAGCCAGUCUGUCCAAGAAAUUGAUGCUUUAAGGACAGAAAACAGGAAAUUAAAAAAUGCGAACUCAAGGCUUCGAUAUAAGACAAAGGAUUGGGCAUUAAAGAAAGAAGAAUAUGAAAAUGAGAUUGAGAGGCUGUCUAGUGAGAUAUCAAAUUAUUUAAAUGCCACCAAUUUUUGGUAUCAAGACACAGAGCUUCUUAAUGAUGAGCAUAAUAAUAUACCAAGGGAACAGGCAAACAAUGUAAGCACUCAGACAGAGGGCGCCCUUGGACCAGUAAAAAGCAUGAGAAACAUCUCAAGCCCUGAAUGGCCUAUCACUCUCAUGACUUCAGUUUUCUGGAUGAUCCUUAGAGGAAGGUGUUAGAACUACCUGUAUAGGCCUCCAGCAAGCUUUUUAUCUAGAGAGAGAAUCUGGAACAACAUAGU